RNAcentral lists this ribosomal RNA (306 nucleotides) under Triticum aestivum (bread wheat). Its description in RNAcentral is "partial small subunit ribosomal RNA". Lineage: Eukaryota; Viridiplantae; Streptophyta; Magnoliopsida; Poales; Poaceae. The record is from RNAcentral.
AUGAAUGAUGGAUCGCCCAGGGGCUCGAUUUAUGGAGUCGGUCGGUGGCUAGCAAGGAGCUACACGUGGUCAGCCUCACCGUUGGAUCAGGACGCCAGGUGCUUUGCGGUACCAGAAUAUGUCGCGGGUGAAUGCCACGGUUGUGUUCACGCAAGAAAAAGGCUUUGUAGUUUGUACCAUUCGCCUGAUGAAACCAAAGGUAGGUUGUUUGUUCGUGGAAUGUUGCUGCUGUACGCCAUGGAUCACAAACGUGACAAGACACAUAAGAUGAUAAGGACCAGUUGUUGUGCAAAAGCACAAAGCUAG